AUAUAAUCUACACAGCGGAGGAAAAGAAACCAACAGGGAUUGCCCCAGUAACGGCGAGUGAAGCGGCAACAGCUCAAAUUUGAAAUCUGGCCCCCGGGUCCGAGUUGUAAUUUGUAGAGGAUGCUUUUGGUGCGGUGCCUUCCGAGUUCCCUGGAACGGGACGCCAAAGAGGGUGAGAGCCCCGUCUGGUCGGACACCAAGCCUCUGUAAAGCUCCUUCGACGAGUCGAGUAGUUUGGGAAUGCUGCUCCAAAUGGGAGGUAUAUGUCUUCUAAAGCUAAAUAUUGGCCAGAGACCGAUAGCGCACAAGUAGAGUGAUCGAAAGAUGAAAAGCACUUUGAAAAGAGGGUUAAACAGUACGUGAAAUUGUUGAAAGGGAAGCGCUUGUGACCAGACUUGGGCCUGCUCAAUCAUCCGGGGUUCUCCCCGGUGCACUUGGCCGGCCCAGGCCAGCAUCAGUUCGUCGCGGGGGAUAAAGGCGUCGGGAACGUGGCUCCCCCGGGAGUGUUAUAGCCCGUCGCGCAAUACCCUGCCUCGGACUGAGGUUCGCGCAUCUGCAAGGAUGCUGGCGUAAUGGUCAUCAGCGACCCGUCUUGAAACACGGACCAAGGAGUCGUCUUCGUAUGCGAGUGUUCGGGUGUCAAACCCCUACGCGUAAUGAAAGUGAACGCAGGUGAGAGCUUCGGCGCAUCAUCGACCGAUCCUGAUGUUCUCGGACGGAUUUGAGUAAGAGCAUACGGGGCCGGACCCGAAAGAAGGUGAACUAUGCCUGUAUAGGGUGAAGCCAGAGGAAACUCUGGUGGAGGCUCGCAGCGGUUCUGACGUGCAAAUCGAUCGUCAAAUAUGGGCAUGGGGGCGAAAGACUAAUCGAACCUUCUAGUAGCUGGUUUCCGC
Molecule: ribosomal RNA, 893 nt
Filed under: Nectria australiensis
Lineage: Eukaryota; Fungi; Ascomycota; Sordariomycetes; Hypocreales; Nectriaceae
Description: eukaryotic LSU rRNA
Rfam family: Eukaryotic large subunit ribosomal RNA
Source: RNAcentral